Vicia villosa (hairy vetch) is the source of this 1045-nucleotide long non-coding RNA. RefSeq lists it as uncharacterized. The record is from RefSeq and is a predicted model, not a curated record. The transcript is spliced from 4 exons. NCBI's taxonomy places the organism in Eukaryota, Viridiplantae, Streptophyta, Magnoliopsida, Fabales, Fabaceae.
CAUGUUCAGAAACAACACAUGCAGCGGCAGCGCUCCAUCUUCUCUCUCUCUCUCGGUCAUGUUCUUCGCCGUCUCAACCUCGCGUCCGUUUCAAACACGACGGCCGAAGAACUCAUACAAGUUCUCUUCUCCGGCGAACUCUCGGUCUCAAUCUCUUCUUCUCCUCUUUUCGAUUUCUGAUUCGUUGUUUGUUGGUAAUUUGAUGAUGAUGGUGAUACGGAAUCAGUUAUUUGUGUUGUUGUGUUGUGUGAUUCUGUCGAAGCUUGAUUCGGUGAAAGUGCAAUGAUGGUGAUGGUUAAUGUUUGUUAUAGGUUUAGAUAUGUGUAUUUGUUCAUCUCCAUGGUUGUUUUCAUAAAUCUAAUUAGUUUAUUGUUAUGUUUGAGGGUUUAUUUAUGAUUUUUAUUCUUUUGUUAUUUAUGAUUAAUGUUUGUUUCAGGUGUAGAUCUGUGUAUUUGUUCAUCUCCACGACUGUUUUCAUAAAUCUAAUUAGUUCAUCCCUUUUCUCUGCUAUAUAUUGAAUCAAAUUAAGGCUACAUCAUAUAGGAUUUCAUCUCAGUAGCCAGAAAGCUUGAAUGAUUGUAGAAUUUUUAGAUAUUACAUGGAUUUGAAAAAAGGGCACCUUCCUUUGUAUACGAUUUCAAGUUAAAGCUUAUCUGUUGUAACUUAAAAUUCCGCAGGUAUAAGGAAAGCAAAUGUGUUGUGAAACAAUUGAUGGGAUGUGGUGGAAUGUCGUCUUCGCAUUCAGCUACGCGGUUGCUAUGGCGGUUGAAUUUCAUGAAGGAUUUGGUGGACUGUUUUUCGCUACUGCAUUGGUUCUAGCUAUGAUUGUGAUGUAUGAUGCUACUGGUGUAAGAUUGCAAGCGAGACGGCAAGCAGAGGUUUGAUUGCGGUUUAUGAGAUCUCUAUUUAUUUUGAAGAAUAAAUGAAGAACAUGAACUUAGAAAUUUGAACAUUAGUCAGAUCGCUUCACUCAAUCCUUCUGAUGUUCAGGACAUUCUUCUACUAUUCAUGUUGUUUCUGACUUUUCCUGUGCUCUUCUGCAGUG